CCCCUCUCAGGGAUGCACCUGGAGAGUUUCCAGUACUCUACUAGUCUCAUCUACGGGAGGGAGAAGUCAAGCAGAGGCACACUCAUUCCAUUCCUAGCUUCGACAGUGGCUAGUGAGUGGAAGGAAUCUGCUACUAGU
This is a small nucleolar RNA of Ornithorhynchus anatinus (platypus), 138 nucleotides long. The record is from RefSeq and is a predicted model, not a curated record. Lineage: Eukaryota; Metazoa; Chordata; Mammalia; Monotremata; Ornithorhynchidae.